UAUCUCUGUAGAGUCUGCAUAUCAAUAAGCGGAGGAAAAGAAACUAACUAGGAUUCCCUUAAGUAACGGCGAGUGAAGCGGGAAGAGCUCAAAUUUGAAAUCUUCAAGGUUUCUACCUUGACGAAUUGUAGUUUAAAGAAGUGUUUUCUGUUGGAGUUUUGGUAAAAGUUCUUUGGAAUAGGACAUCAUAGAGGGUGAGAAUCCCGUAUUUGACCAUUACUUCCAGCGUUGUGAUACACUUUCAAAGAGUCGGAUUGUUUGGGAAUGCAGUCCAAAAUGGGUGGUAAAUUUCAUCUAAAGCUAAAUAUUGGCGAGAGACCGAGUAGCGAACAAGUACCGUGAGGGAAAGAUGAAAAGAACUUUGAAAAGAGAGUUAAACAGUACGUGAAAUUGUCAAAAGGGAAGCGUUUGACACCAGUGUUGUUUUCUCGAAAAUCAAUUAAAAAGAGUUGGAUUUUGUAUUGUUAAGACCUUAUCAGCUUACUGUACUUUUUUCUUGCUCUUUUUAAUGCACUUUUCGUUUAACAAGUCAACAUCAAUUUCUUUUGUUGUAAAAGGGUCAUUGGAAGGUGGCUUUCACUUCGGUGAAAGUGUUUAUAGCCUUUGGCUUCUACAAUCGGAGAGAUUGAGGUCUGCAGCGUAGAUCCUUCGGGGUUAGAUACGUAGAUGCUAAGUUAUAGUUUUUUAUAGACAACUUGUUGACUAUGAUUAAUCAUGUAGCUUACUCGUUUACGCUAUCUUACCUACGCUUAGGAUGUUGAUCUCUCACAGUCGAGC
RNAcentral lists this ribosomal RNA (777 nucleotides) under uncultured Neocallimastigales. Its description in RNAcentral is "partial large subunit ribosomal RNA". It matches the Rfam family "Eukaryotic large subunit ribosomal RNA", at positions 24 to 645 of the family's 3401-position model. The record is from RNAcentral. Lineage: Eukaryota; Fungi; Neocallimastigomycota; Neocallimastigomycetes; Neocallimastigales.